GAGGAAUAUUGCGCAAUGGGGGCAACCCUGACGCAGCAACGCCGCGUGAGUGAGGAAGGUUUUCGGAUUGUAAAGCUCUGUCGAGCGGAAAGAAAUGCACGAUGGCUAAUAUCCAUCAUGCUUGACGGUACCGCUAGAGGAAGCACCGGCUAACUCCGUGCCAGCAGCCGCGGUAAUACGGGGGGUGCAAGCGUUGUUCGGAAUCAUUGGGCGUAAAGAGCGUGUAGGCGGCUGGACAAGUCAGAUGUGAAAUCCCUGGGCUUAACCCAGGAAGUGCAUUUGAAACUGUCUAGCUGGAGUAAGGGAGAGGAAAGUGGAAUUCCUGGUGUAGAGGUGAAAUUCGUAGAUAUCAGGAGGAACACCGGUGGCGAAGGCGACUUUCUGGCCCUAUACUGACGCUGAGACGCGAAAGCGUGGGUAGCAAAC
RNAcentral lists this ribosomal RNA (426 nucleotides) under uncultured bacterium. RNAcentral's name for it is "bacterial SSU rRNA". It matches the Rfam family "Bacterial small subunit ribosomal RNA", at positions 356 to 773 of the family's 1533-position model. The record is from RNAcentral.